Long non-coding RNA from Dendrobium catenatum, 291 nucleotides. RefSeq lists it as uncharacterized. The transcript is spliced from 2 exons. The record is from RefSeq and is a predicted model, not a curated record. Lineage: Eukaryota; Viridiplantae; Streptophyta; Magnoliopsida; Asparagales; Orchidaceae.
AAAGAUGAGGUGGACCAAAGCAAGUAUCCUCACAUGCCUUGAUUAUAAUAGUUUUCUUAUUUGUAAAGAAACAAAGCUACAUGAGGAGACGAUUCCUCUGCUAAUCCCUCAUCAUCAUAUGGUUAUUCCUCAUUAUAUGGGACAAAGCAGAGAAGUUGGAUUCCACACUGCAGUAGUGCAAGAUAUUGAUUGGCGUUAAUAUGACUAAAGAUUGAUAUUUGUGCAUUUGCCUUUGAUAGAACUGAUAUACGAGAAAAAGUAAUAAUUUUGUAAUUUUAUAUUUAUUUACAU